GGGGAUGUAGCUCAGUGGUACAGUGCUUGCCUAGCAUGUGUGAUGCCCUGGGUUCCAUCCCCAGCACUGCCA
RNAcentral lists this transfer RNA (72 nucleotides) under Ictidomys tridecemlineatus (thirteen-lined ground squirrel). RNAcentral's name for it is "Spermophilus tridecemlineatus (thirteen-lined ground squirrel) tRNA". It matches the Rfam family "tRNA". From Rfam's summary of the family: Transfer RNA (tRNA) molecules are approximately 80 nucleotides in length. Their secondary structure includes four short double-helical elements and three loops (D, anti-codon, and T loops). The record is from Rfam by way of RNAcentral. Lineage: Eukaryota; Metazoa; Chordata; Mammalia; Rodentia; Sciuridae.